Molecule: ribosomal RNA, 338 nt
Filed under: uncultured bacterium
Lineage: Bacteria
Description: bacterial SSU rRNA
Rfam family: Bacterial small subunit ribosomal RNA
Source: RNAcentral
UACCGAUCGGUGGUUUAGAAAGUCAGAAGUGAAAUCUCUCAGCUCAACUGGGAGACUGUCUUUUGAAACUUCUAAACUCGAGGGGCAAAGAGGAAGCCGGAACAAGCGGUGUAGUAGUGAAAUGCGUUGAUAUCGCUUGGAACACCAAUAGCGAAGGCAGGCUUCUGGGUGCCACCUGACACUGCUAGGACGAAAGCGUGGGUAGCGAAUGGGAUUAGAUACCCCAGUAGUCCACGCUGUAAACGAUGCACAUUAGGCGCUAGGGAGUAUCGACCCUUCUUAGUGCCAAAGCUAACGCGUUAAAUGUGCCGCCUGGGGAGUACGGCCGCAAGGCUAAA